UACGUAGGCAGCGAGCGUUGUCCGGAAUUACUGGGCGUAAAGAGUGUGUAGGCGGCGCUCUAAGUUCGGUGUGAAAUCUCCUGGCUCAACUGGGAGGGUGCGCCGGAAACUGGAGUGCUUGAGCGUGGGAGAGGAAAGCGGAAUUCCUGGUGUAGCGGUGAAAUGCGUAGAUAUCAGGAGGAACACCUGUGGUGUAGACGGCUUUCUGGACCAUAGCUGACGCUGAGACACGAAAGCGUGGGUAGCAAACAGG
Molecule: ribosomal RNA, 253 nt
Filed under: uncultured bacterium
Lineage: Bacteria
Description: partial 16S ribosomal RNA
Rfam family: Bacterial small subunit ribosomal RNA
Source: RNAcentral